CCUACGGGAGGCAGCAGUGGGGAAUAUUGGACAAUGGGCGAAAGCCUGAUCCAGCCAUGCUGCGUGUGUGAAGAAGGCCUUCGGGUUGUAAAGCACUUUCAGUGGGGAAGAAAGCCUUGGGGCUAAUACCCUCGAGGAAGGACAUCACCCACAGAAGAAGCACCGGCUAACUCCGUGCCAGCAGCCGCGGUAAUACGGAGGGUGCGAGCGUUAAUCGGAAUUACUGGGCGUAAAGCGCGCGUAGGCGGUCUGAUAAGCCGGUUGUGAAAGCCCCGGGCUCAACCUGGGAACGGCAUCCGGAACUGUCAGGCUAGAGUGCAGGAGAGGAAGGUAGAAUUCCCGGUGUAGCGGUGAAAUGCGUAGAGAUCGGGAGGAAUACCAGUGGCGAAGGCGGCCUUCUGGACUGACACUGACGCUGAGGUGCGAAAGCGUGGGUAGCAAACAGGAUUAGAUACCCUAGUAGUC
This 465-nucleotide ribosomal RNA is filed under the name Vreelandella stevensii. RNAcentral describes it as "partial 16S ribosomal RNA". It matches the Rfam family "Bacterial small subunit ribosomal RNA", at positions 338 to 795 of the family's 1533-position model. Lineage: Bacteria; Pseudomonadati; Pseudomonadota; Gammaproteobacteria; Oceanospirillales; Halomonadaceae. The record is from RNAcentral.